RNAcentral lists this ribosomal RNA (778 nucleotides) under uncultured bacterium. Its description in RNAcentral is "bacterial SSU rRNA". It matches the Rfam family "Bacterial small subunit ribosomal RNA", at positions 64 to 850 of the family's 1533-position model. The record is from RNAcentral.
UUUUGAAAGAUUUCUUCGGAAUGAAUUUGAUUUAGUUUAGUGGCGGACGGGUGAGUAACGCGUGAGUAACCUGCCUUCAAGAGGGGGAUAACAUUCUGAAAAGAAUGCUAAUACCGCAUGACAUAUCGGAACCACAUGGUUUUGAUAUCAAAGAUUUUAUCGCUUGAAGAUGGACUCGCGUCCGAUUAGUUAGUUGGUGAGGUAACGGCUCACCAAGACCGCGAUCGGUAGCCGGACUGAGAGGUUGAACGGCCACAUUGGGACUGAGACACGGCCCAGACUCCUACGGGAGGCAGCAGUGGGGGAUAUUGCGCAAUGGGGGCAACCCUGACGCAGCAACGCCGCGUGAAGGAUGAAGGUUUUCGGAUUGUAAACUUCUUUUAUUAAGGACGAAACUUGACGGUACUUAAUGAAUAAGCUCCGGCUAACUACGUGCCAGCAGCCGCGGUAAUACGUAGGGAGCAAGCGUUGUCCGGAUUUACUGGGUGUAAAGGGUGCGUAGGCGGCUUUGCAAGUCAGAUGUGAAAUCUAUGGGCUCAACCCAUAAACUGCAUUUGAAACUGUAGAGCUUGAGUGAAGUAGAGGCAGGCGGAAUUCCCCGUGUAGCGGUGAAAUGCGUAGAGAUGGGGAGGAACACCAGUGGCGAAGGCGGCCUGCUGGGCUUUAACUGACGCUGAGGCACGAAAGCGUGGGUAGCAAACAGGAUUAGAUACCCUGGUAGUCCACGCUGUAAACGAUGAUUACUAGGUGUGGGGGGUCUGACCCCUUCCGUGCCGGA